This 695-nucleotide ribosomal RNA is filed under the name uncultured Sphingobacteriia bacterium. RNAcentral's name for it is "bacterial SSU rRNA". It matches the Rfam family "Bacterial small subunit ribosomal RNA", at positions 1 to 673 of the family's 1533-position model. Lineage: Bacteria; Pseudomonadati; Bacteroidota; Sphingobacteriia. The record is from RNAcentral.
GGCCGGCGAAUUUCGCCCCUUUAGAGUUUGAUGGUGGCUCAGGAUGAACGCUAAGCGGCAGGCUCUAAUACAUGCAAGUCGAGGGGCAGCAUAGUCUUCGGACUGAUGGCGACCGGCGCACGGGUGCGUAACGCGUAUGCAACCUACCCACAACUGGGGCAUAGCCCGGAGAAAUCCGGAUUAAUACCCCAUAAUGCAGGGGUACCUCCUGGUGCUAUUUGCUAAAGAUUUAUCGGUUGUGGAUGGGCAUGCGUCUGAUUAGUUAGUUGGUGAGGUAACGGCUCACCAAGACCACGAUCAGUAGGGGGUCUGAGAGGAUGAUCCCCCACACUGGCACUGAGAUACGGGCCAGACUCCUACGGGAGGCAGCAGUAGGGAAUAUUGGGCAAUGGGCGAAAGCCUGACCCAGCCAUGCCGCGUGAAGGAUGAAGGCCUUCUGGGUUGUAAACUUCUUUUAUACAGGAAGAAAAAGGUCAUGCGUGACCAAUUGACGGUACUGUAUGAAUAAGCACCGGCUAACUCCGUGCCAGCAGCCGCGGUAAUACGGAGGGUGCAAGCGUUGUCCGGAUUUAUUGGGUUUAAAGGGUGCGUAGGCGGUCUGUUUAAGUCAGUGGUGAAAUCUCUCGGCUCAACCGAGAAAACUGCCAUUGAUACUGGCAGGACUUGAGUACGGACGAGGUAGGCGGAAUUUAUGG